ACCGCGCCUAGGCUGAUCCCCGAACGUCUGGACACCCUGCCAGGCUGGCGCGGUACCUUUUCAGGG
Molecule: small RNA, 66 nt
Organism: Frateuria aurantia DSM 6220
Lineage: Bacteria; Pseudomonadati; Pseudomonadota; Gammaproteobacteria; Lysobacterales; Rhodanobacteraceae
Rfam family: int-alpA RNA
About the family: Acidobacteria (1 example), Planctomycetes (1 example), Proteobacteria. Environment (Lake Washington)
Source: Rfam